Molecule: ribosomal RNA, 697 nt
Filed under: Pseudomonadota bacterium
Lineage: Bacteria; Pseudomonadati; Pseudomonadota
Description: bacterial SSU rRNA
Rfam family: Bacterial small subunit ribosomal RNA
Source: RNAcentral
AUUGAACGCUGGCGGAAUGCUUUACACAUGCAAGUCGAACGGUAGAGGGGGCAACCCCUUGAGAGUGGCGAACGGGUGAGUAAUAUAUCGGAACGUGCCCAGUCGUGGGGGAUAACGUAGUGAAAAUUACGCUAAUACCGCAUACGAUCUAAGGAUGAAAGCGGGGGAUCGCAAGACCUCGCGCGACUGGAGCGGCCGAUAUCAGAUUAGGUAGUUGGUAGGGUAAAGGCCUACCAAGCCAACGAUCUGUAGCUGGUCUGAGAGGACGACCAGCCACACUGGAACUGAGACACGGUCCAGACUCCUACGGGAGGCAGCAGUGGGGAAUUUUGGACAAUGGGCGAAAGCCUGAUCCAGCCAUUCCGCGUGCAGGAUGAAGGCCCUCGGGUUGUAAACUGCUUUUGUACAGAACGAAAAGGUUUCUAUUAAUACUAGGGGCUCAUGACGGUACUGUAAGAAUAAGCACCGGCUAACUACGUGCCAGCAGCCGCGGUAAUACGUAGGGUGCAAGCGUUAAUCGGAAUUACUGGGCGUAAAGCGUGCGCAGGCGGUUAUAUAAGUCAGAUGUGAAAUCCCCGGGCUCAACCUGGGAACUGCAUUUGAGACUGUAUAGCUAGAGUACGGUAGAGGGGGAUGGAAUUCCGCGUGUAGCAGUGAAAUGCGUAGAUAUGCGGAGGAACACCGAUGGCGAAGGCAA